This is a non-coding RNA of Poecilia formosa (Amazon molly), 74 nucleotides long. The record is from Rfam. Lineage: Eukaryota; Metazoa; Chordata; Actinopteri; Cyprinodontiformes; Poeciliidae.
GGUGAGUUAGCUCAACAGGUUAGAGCACAGUGCUGGUAAUGCUGAGGUCAUCGGUUCAAACCCCACACAGGUCA